Molecule: ribosomal RNA, 496 nt
Filed under: uncultured bacterium
Lineage: Bacteria
Description: partial 16S ribosomal RNA
Rfam family: Bacterial small subunit ribosomal RNA
Source: RNAcentral
AUGAACGCUGGCGGCGUGCCUAAUACCUGCCAGUCGAGCGUACGGACGAGAAGCUUGCUUUUCUGUUUUUAUCGGCGUACGGGUGAGUAACUCUUUUAUAACCUACCUAUAUUUCUGUGUUUACUUCGGUAAACCGUAUCUAAUACCGGUUAAUAUUUUGAACCGCUUGGUUCACACUUUCAAUUCGGUCUUGCUUUCUCUUAUAGAUUGAUCCGCGCUGCAUUAGCUAGUUGGUAAGGUAACGGCUUACAAAGGCAACGAUGCAUAGCCGACCUGAGAGGGUGAGAGGCAAAACUGGAACGGAGACACGGACCAGAGGACUACGGGAGGCAGCAGUAGGGAAGAUGCCGCAAUGGGCGAAAGCAUGACGGAGCAAAGCCGAGUGAGUGAAGAAGGUCUUCGGAUCGUAAAACUCUGUUAUUAGGGAAGAAAAAAAGUGUAAGUAAAAGUGCACAUAAUGACGGUAACUAAUAAGAAAGCAACGGCUAACUACGUG